CUACGGGGGGCACCAGGCGAGAAAACUUUGCAAUGUGCGAAAGCACGACAAGGUUAAUCCGAGUGGUUUCUGCUAAAGGAACCUUUUGACAGUCCUAGAAACACUGUUGAAUAAGGGGUGGGCAAGUUCUGGUGUCAGCCGCCGCGGUAAAACCAGCACCUCAAGUGGUCAGGAUGAUUAUUGGGCCUAAAGCAUCCGUAGCCGGCUCUGUAAGUUUUCGGUUAAAUCUGUACGCUCAACGUACAGGCUGCCGGGGAUACUGCAGAGCUAGGGAGUGGGAGAGGUAGACGGUACUCGGUAGGAAGGGGUAAAAUCCUUUGAUCUAUUGAUGACCACCUGUGGCGAAGGCGGUCUACCAGAACACGUCCGACGGUGAGGGAUGAAAGCUGGGGGAGCAAACCGGAUUAGAUACCCCUGUAGUC
Molecule: ribosomal RNA, 422 nt
Filed under: uncultured archaeon
Lineage: Archaea
Description: partial 16S ribosomal RNA
Rfam family: Archaeal small subunit ribosomal RNA
Source: RNAcentral